UUUUAAUAGCAGCCUCAGGAAUUUCUUCCU
Molecule: non-coding RNA, 30 nt
Filed under: Mus musculus (house mouse)
Lineage: Eukaryota; Metazoa; Chordata; Mammalia; Rodentia; Muridae
Source: RNAcentral